Molecule: small RNA, 29 nt
Filed under: Bombyx mori (domestic silkworm)
Lineage: Eukaryota; Metazoa; Arthropoda; Insecta; Lepidoptera; Bombycidae
Description: ovarian small RNA-38164
Source: RNAcentral
UUGUGUCCCCACCCCCUCCGUUCGGGGAA